Molecule: non-coding RNA, 1634 nt
Organism: Tetranychus urticae (two-spotted spider mite)
Lineage: Eukaryota; Metazoa; Arthropoda; Arachnida; Trombidiformes; Tetranychidae
Source: RefSeq, a predicted model, not a curated record
AAGUUAAUCAGGUUAUAUGGUUUAUCAUCUAGUUGAGUUUAAUCAGAUGAUGAUAAAGUUUAAUAUUAUAUAAAGUUGAAGGAAAAAUCAAUCUUUUUCAAUGAAAAGGGAAAUGCUUUUUGUAGAGUUGUAAUUGGAAAACGAUCCCCUUAAAAGGCUUAAUAUAUGGCUGACCCCUUUAUCUUUACCUCGCAUUUUUCACAUUAGACUGUGUUUUUUUUUGCUACAAUCUGAUUUGAUAAACAGUUUCAAGUGUUAAUUAUCCCUUGACAUGGGCUUUAUUUAAUUAUGUGUCUCGUCAAAUUUUAUCUUUUCUGUCAAUUUAUUCAUGGGAUCGAAAUAUUUUUUCUGUGAAAGAUCAAGAAAAGGCUGACUUUGAUGUUACCAGUACAGCAUGUUUUAGCCACAUGUUUUAUUGUUGCCUUGUAUCUCUCAAAGUUAACAGUCUCUUGCUGUUUAAUUAUGAUUUACCUUCUCCAAGUGGUCAAAAUUUACUCAGGCUUUUGAACCUGUUUACGAUGAAUGUAACAAUUUGGUUGAAGAAGACCAAUUAAGGUAAAGUGGUGAUCAACUCAUUUAGGUUACUUUGUCAAACUCAAGCUGAAUCUGGUCACAUGUAAAGACAACAGCACAGCCUUUCGGAACUCAUAUUGACAUCAGCCUGUUCAGUCAAUCCUGUUAAGGAAAGUUAAACUGAAAAGCUAUUGAAGAAGAAACGUUUGUUUUUACUUGAAAGUCAUAAAAAUUUCAACCGAGUUAAUCUUCAGACACAAAGAUGUAGCUACCGAAAGCUUAAGAUGCUCAUUUCAUGCUGAUAUGGUGAGGAUUUGCACUCAAAUUUUCAAUAACUUCGUUCUUAUCGAGUGAUUCCUAGAUAUCGAGCUGCCGAGUAAAUAGUGAUAAUCAUGUUUACAAAUUGGCUUCUGCAUUCACUCACUUUUCUGAAGAUUCACUCAUUAAAAUUUUUAUGGCUGCCAAACAAAUAAAAACACAGCCCCUUCUUCAGUGGUUUUUGAGCUAAUUUACUCUAAUUGUUUACAGAAUCGGCUAUUAUAUCAACAACAGCUACUGGACAGAUCCCUGUAUUGGAUAAAUUGGACAACACAAACUCCAGAAAUUCACAAAGUAUCAAUCAUGGAAUCUGAUUUCUCGACUUGUUCUCAAUUUGGUUAACCCAGACGAUAGUGAAAAGUUUGCUCACAAUUAGCAUAAAAGGCAAUAUUUUUAAUGCAAAUUUGGAUGCGAAAAGUGAUAAAAUUGAUAACUUUGUGUGUUGGCCCUGUUACUGCGUAUGAAUUUACUAUCCAAUGAGACUGGAAGCAAGGCAUCAAUUGCAUCUCUUUUAUAUCAUCUUAUAUUUAUUUGUCAAAGUGCAUUAUAAUAUACUUGUGAUAAUAAUACAGAAACACAUUAAAUCGUGUUUUUGGUUCAUAUUUAUUAGAGAGUUGACCCUUUUCCAUUUUUAUCUCAUUCACAUUCAUAUCAUCGUUAACAUAAAAUGUUGCCCAUAAAUAAUGUCCAUUUUCAAUGUGCAUUCACCUUUUUUUAUCCCUUUUUAUCCCUUUUCUUAACUAUUAAAUGGAUGUUAACCAGGAAAAAGUAAAAAAGAUUGAUUGACCAAGUUGUUAAUUUAA